Molecule: ribosomal RNA, 406 nt
Filed under: uncultured bacterium
Lineage: Bacteria
Description: partial 16S ribosomal RNA
Rfam family: Bacterial small subunit ribosomal RNA
Source: RNAcentral
AUUGAACGCUGGCGGCAGGCUUAACACAUGCAAGUCGAACGAGCGGCGGACGGGUGAGUAAUGUCUGGGAAACUGCCUGAUGGAGGGGGAUAACUACUGGAAACGGUAGCUAAUACCGCAUACCAUCAGAUGUGCCCAUAUGGGAUUAGCUAGUAGGUGGGGUAAUGGCUCACCUAGGCGACGAUCCCUAGCUGGUCUGAGAGGAUGCCCGGCCACACUGGAACUGAGACACGGUCCAGACUCCUACGGGAGGCAGCAGUGGGGAAUAGUGCGCAAUGGGGGCAACCCUGACGCAGCCAUGCAGCGUGAAUGAAGAAGGCCUUAGGGUUGGAAAGUUCUUUCGGUAGCGAGGCGUUACCUACAGAAGAAGCACCGGCUAACUCCGUGCCAGCAGCCGCGGUAAUUC